AUGGGAAGGAAACUUUUACUGAGGUGUUGCAAACCACGAAUUAGGGGCAUUUUAUCAGGUACUCAGUCAGUGCGGGACAAGCUGCAUUUGACAAGAAGGAAACAGCCUAGACUAUGAAUUAAGGCCCGAAAAUAGCGCUAAGUGAGAAAGUAAUUAACUUCACAAAAAUUAGUAGGACGUUUGAUUAGUAGCAUCUACCGUUUCAAGAAAGCGUAAUAGCUCACUACUAUAGUUUAGUUGUUGCGAAAAUUUAGCCGGACUAAGCGCUAUGCCGAAAUUAUAGCUAACUGGAUCUUAAUAAAAGUCAGUUAGAGUAGCAAAACGAACCAUGUUGACAAAGUUACGUCGGUAAGACUUAAUGAAAAUAUUGGUUGUGAAUAUAUCAGCUAGAGUAACAUAUAAAUUGAGACUUUAAAUAAAUAAUUGUUUUAUAUUAAUCUUGUUUUAUUGUAUUUGUAUAAAGUUUAUUUAUUAAAAAAAUAGUAUCUCAAUGAUCGGAAAUCCUGGGUUUUCUACACAACUGUUAAAGAUGUAGUUAAAAAUACGGUCCCUAAGUAAUGUAAAGGUUACGAUGGGUACCUGCUAUGCCCAAUAAAAUCUAAUUUGUAGAUCUGUUGCAGGAAAAAAUAGCAGGAAUUUACACAAAAAUCGAUUUUUUUUGUACAAAAUAAUACCGUACUAAAACUGACUCUGGUGGAUUAGUAGAUUUUACUAAGAUUUGGUUAUAAUCGUUCGUAAGGAACUCGGCAAAUUGCGCUGGUACUUUCGAAAACAGCGGUCUAAAAGCAAUCUUUUAGAUCUCAGAUAAGAGAACUGGGUGACAGUUUACUAAAAACUUAGCGUCCUGCCAAUUUGAAACAAGACGUAUAGGAUGUGACGUUUGCUAACGGCCACUAAUUUAAGUAAUCUGUUGUAAAAGGUAGAUAAACAAGAUGUGGUGACGAGCGGCCGUAACUAUAACGGUCAUAAAGUAGCGAAAUUCCUAGGCAUUUAAUUGGUGUCCUGCAUGAAUAACGUAACAACCUGGUUGCUGUCUCGCGAGCGAAAACCGUGAAAUAAGAAUAUCGGUUAAAAUACCGAUUAGGCUGUCUUAGACGAUAAGACCCUGUGAAGCUUUACUGUAACCUAACAUUGCGAUCGGUUUUUUACCUUACAGCUAGGCGGGAGGCAAUGCCAACAAUGGAAAACCGCUAGAUAAUAAAUUGGUCGCUUUUAUAUAAGAGUACUUUUUAAUCUAUAAGAUAUUUAUAUAAGACACGUUAUAUAAGAAAUUUUAUGUGAAUAGAAUAAGCUUUAUGUUAACCCUUGUAUAAAACACUUUAAUUAACAAAGCUCGAAGACAGUGUUAGGUGGGCAGUUUACUUGGGGCGAGGUCUGGCUAAAAAGUAACGCCAGAGAGCAAAAGGUAUGCUCAGUAUUGUCGGAAACGAUAUGUAGAGCGUAAUAGUAUAAGCAUGCCUGAUUAUAAGACUGACAAGUCAAAUAAGGACGAAAGUCUGCUAUAGUGACCCUCACAUGCUAGGUGGAAAGGUGUGAGAUCAACGAAUCAAAGUUACUCCAGGGAUAAUGCUUAAAAACGCGACAAGUAUGACAAUGUACUAUGCGGUGAGAUUCCGAUGAUCAAAAAACUCUGAUCACCCCACAAACGACAACCCCGCAUUCAUCCAAUGACUGCUUGGUUGUAGACUCGUAUUUAGGGGCAGAUACCCAAGGUAAGCGAAAGCAAAUUGACAUUAGAGGCGCAUAAUUAGUAAAUUCUUUUCUGAAUUUACAGAGUAACUUGCUUAUCCCGAGUUAUUGAGUUUUCAAUGUAUUAUGCGCAGAGUCAGUGCCUAAAGGUAUUGUUAAUGGAGUACAUGUAUGAACUUGGUAAGCCUUAUAGGUUCUAAAUAAUAUUUAAAUCAUAUUUAGAGGGCCGUUCGUAAGAUGGGCUAUCACCUAGAAGGUAGAAGAGAAAGCAAAAAGCGAAUGCAGUGCUGUAAUGGCGCUGAUAAAUACAAUUGUAUUAACUUGAAAAAGUGCUAACUUGCUUUUGGUAUAAAAAAAAAAUGGUUUUAAAAAUGAGAAAUAUUACUUAUAAUCUAGUGCUAAAUAAGCACGCCAAGCCACAAACAAAAGCGGAAUUUGGUGCUUUCUUAGCCGGUUUAAUAGAUGCCGACGGGUCCAUCAAAAAGUAUGGCCAUGUACAGAUAACUUUUCAUAAGCGCGAUGUAUGCAUCGCCUAUUACAUAAAAACAAUGGUUGGCAAUGGGUACAUUUAUGCAUUUAAAAAAGUGCCGGCUUAUAACUAUAUUUGUUCUAAAGAACAAGGGCUAAAGGUCAUAGGCUUCAUUAUAUCGAAAAAUUUAAAAAAUAUUGAUAAAAUUAAACAGUUCAAUAGCCGCCUAGCGCCUCGUCUAAAUUCAAAAUUUUGUAAGACGCCCAGUUUUACAGAUAUACAACAGAACCAUUGGUUUGCCGGCUUUGUGCAAGGGGAUGGAAGUUUUCAAAUUAAAAUAAGAAAGCCCCGUAAACCCGGUUGGAGUAAUCAAAUUGAAAUUGUACUUCAAAUUGAAUUAAAGCAUGAAGACUUGCUAAAACAAAUACAAGCAAAUUUUGGUGGUAGCAUAGGAUACCGUAAAACUAGAAAUACUUACUACUACAGUAGCGUAAAUUUACAAAACGCAGUUAAACUUGUGAAUUAUUUUGAUAAAUAUCAAGUUAUGGGACCUAGCUAUCGACUAUAUCUAUGCUGGAAAAGCGCUUUAGAGAUAGUGUUGACUAAACAGCACCUAACCUCUACUGGAUUUGAAGAAAUACAAUCUUUAAAAACAUAUAUGGCACAAUUAAGAGAGAUUAUUUGAACCUAUAUAAAUACAUUUUUUAUCAUUUUUUAUUUUUUAUGCUUGAGCCGUAUGCGCUGAAAGGUGCACGUACGGUUCUUAGGGGAAAAAACGUUUGCGAAAGCCAAUUUCCCCAGUCAGGGUAGUCCUGGCUUAUAGUUCUUAUAGACGCCAGGGUUCGCCACCUUAAUUAGCAUUGGGGCUCUUAUCUAGGAAACUAGAUUAGGAAUGCAUUUGGCUAUAUGCUGGAACCCCCGUUUGCAUUAAAUUUAACAAAGAACAUUAUUUUUAAUAGCAAUGUAAAUAUUACGUGGCUUGCUUGUUUUAUAAAAAGCUUGUUGACACAUGUGAUUGCGGGCAAUCAGCAGGGAAGUUCAAGCAACUUAUAUUUUUCUGUUGCAUAACCCCUCAACGACCACACGCCGAACACCCUUAUAAUGGGUGAUGAUAUGGUCUACUCUUACAAGAAAUUGUAAGUCAAUUCAAAUUAUAAAUAAAUUGAUAUACACAACUACAUAAAAAACAAAUUUUUUCUUUAUACUUUAUACGUUAUGAUACAAAAAAAUAACUUAUCAACAUUACCUUUGUUUUUCCUUUCAAAGAAGUUAACUCCAAAGGUGGCUUUCUCGCUUUCUCCUUUGCGGGGCAAAGGCAAAAUGCCAACUGGUACAAAAAAGCCGACGUUUGGGUUCAUAAAGACGAACCAAGAAAGCUAUACGGUAAAAAUCUUGUAACCUAUAAAAAAACACUCAAACUAACGCCGCAGCAAAAACGUAUUUUAAUAGGAAGUUUACUAGGUGAUGGGUAUAUUGAUUUUCAUAGAUCUGCAAAACAACCAAGUUACUACUUUUGCUUUGCUCAAACCUGGCAUGCUGCAGAUUAUGUUGAUCACAUUUAUCAAAUAUUUAAACCAUUUGUAGGUACUCCGCCUAAAAUAAAUAAAAUCGGCGGCAUAAAGUCAGGGUUGCCAAAGCGUUAUGAAGUUCGUUUUAAAACUUAUGCUCACGAAGAGUUUAAGUAUUACUACGAUUUAUUUUACUUUUGCCUGCGGCAAAGCAAAGGUCCUGAAGUAGAUGGUCAAAGAAAAAAGCGUGUUCCACAAAAUAUAAAAAGUAUAUUAACAGCUGAGGGCCUGGCUUACUGGUAUAUGGAUGAUGGGACAACACGGACAUAUAUAACAGGGAAAAAAUCUUAUGUUAUUUCAACUCAAGGUUUUUGUUAUGAAGAUCAGGUUAUAUUAAUUGAUGCUUUUAAAGAAACAUUUGGUCUUGAUUGCGGUGUGCAUAAAGAUAAAACCUACUUUAGGUUAGGUUUUAGAGCAUCAUCUAAUACGCUGUUUUUAAGCUUAAUAAAACCGUAUAUACACGCAUAUUUUGAUUAUAAGCUUUAAGUAAUAUAAAAACACUGCCAAUUGUAGUGUGUAUAAUAAUAUACAGACGAUGUUGCCUCAGGUCAUCCUAGAGCUGCACAAGGUUCUAAGGGCGCAACUGUUCUUUGCAUAAUGACCUACGUGAGGUGAGUUUAAACCGCCGUAAGGCAGGUUUGGUUCUAUCUAGACAGCCAUAAUAUUUAACCAAGCACUAGAAUUCCACUGUACGAAAGGACCCGGAAUUCCGCGCCAAUGGUUUAGCAAUUGUUUUGAAAAAAGCAUGGUUGCAACGCUAAGCGUGAAAUGUUAAUUGCUGAAAAACUAUCAAGCAAGAAACAAUUGUAAAGGUUAUAGUACAUCGCAUUUGCGUAAAUAGGCAGGGGGUGUAAGUGUUGUAAGACAUUAAGCUACCCUGUACUAAUUUUUU
RNAcentral lists this ribosomal RNA (4618 nucleotides) under Ulva linza. Lineage: Eukaryota; Viridiplantae; Chlorophyta; Ulvophyceae; Ulvales; Ulvaceae. The record is from RNAcentral.